Molecule: ribosomal RNA, 492 nt
Filed under: uncultured bacterium
Lineage: Bacteria
Description: partial 16S ribosomal RNA
Rfam family: Bacterial small subunit ribosomal RNA
Source: RNAcentral
AGUGAACGCUGGCGGUAGGCCUAACACAUGCAAGUCGAACGGCAGCACAGUAAGAGCUUGCUCUUACGGGUGGCGAGUGGCGGACGGGUGAGGAAUACAUCGGAAUCUACUUUUUCGUGGGGGAUAACGUAGGGAGACUUACGCUAAUACCGCAUACGACCUACGGGUGAAAGCAGGGGAUCUUCGGACCUUGCGCGAUUGAAUGAGCCGAUGUCGGAUUAGCUAGUUGGCGGGGUAAAGGCCCACCAAGGCGACGAUCCGUAGCUGGUCUGAGAGGAUGAUCAGCCACACUGGAACUGAGACACGGUCCAGACUCCUACGGGAGGCAGCAGUGGGGAAUAUUGGACAAUGGGCGCAAGCCUGAUCCAGCCAUACCGCGUGGGUGGAGAAGGCCUUCGGGUUGUAAAGCCCUUUUGUUGGGAAAGAAAAGCAGCAGGUUAAUACCCCGCUGUUCUGACGGUACCCAAAGAAUAAGCACCGGCUAACUUCGUG